RNAcentral lists this ribosomal RNA (480 nucleotides) under uncultured bacterium. Its description in RNAcentral is "partial 16S ribosomal RNA". It matches the Rfam family "Bacterial small subunit ribosomal RNA", at positions 28 to 507 of the family's 1533-position model. The record is from RNAcentral.
GAUGAACGCUAGCGGCAGGCCUAACACAUGCAAGUCGAGGGGUAGAAGGAGCUUGCUCCUUUGAGACCGGCGCACGGGUGCGUAACGCGUAUGCAAUCUACCUUGUACAGGGGAAUAGCCCAGAGAAAUUUGGAUUAAUGCCCCAUAGUAUAUAACCUUCGCAUGUUGGUUAUAUUAAAGUUCCAACGGUACAGGAUGAGCAUGCGUCCCAUUAGUUAGUUGGUAAGGUAACGGCUUACCAAGACGAUGAUGGGUAGGGGUCCUGAGAGGGAGAUCCCCCACACUGGUACUGAGACACGGACCAGACUCCUACGGGAGGCAGCAGUGAGGAAUAUUGGUCAAUGGUCGCAAGACUGAACCAGCCAUGCCGCGUGCAGGAAGACGGUCCUAUGGAUUGUAAACUGCUUUUAUACAGGAAGAAACCCUCCCACGUGUGGGAGCUUGACGGUACUGUAGGAAUAAGGAUCGGCUAACUCCGUG